CGGAGGGUGCAAGCGUUAUCCGGAUUCACUGGGUUUAAAGGGUGCGUAGGUGGGCAAGUAAGUCAGUGGUGAAAUCUCCGGGCUUAACCCGGAAACUGCCAUUGAUACUAUUUGUCUUGAAUACUGUGGAGGUCAGCGGAAUAUGUCAUGUAGCGGUGAAAUGCUUAGAUAUGACAUAGAACACCAAUUGCGAAGGCAGCUGGCUACACAAAUAUUGACACUGAGGCACGAAAGCGUGGGGAUCAAACAGGAUUAGAUACCCUGGUAGUCCACGCCCUAAACUAUGGAUACUCGACAUUUGCGAUAAACUGCAAGUGUCUGAGCGAAAGCAUUAAGUAUCCCACCUGGGAAGUACGAUCGCAAGAUUG
RNAcentral lists this ribosomal RNA (368 nucleotides) under uncultured organism. Its description in RNAcentral is "bacterial SSU rRNA". It matches the Rfam family "Bacterial small subunit ribosomal RNA", at positions 526 to 896 of the family's 1533-position model. The record is from RNAcentral.